AAAAAGGUCUCUCGGGAAAGCUAUUUAAGGCCCAAAAUCCACAAAAGCAUAAGCGUCAACGCGCACGUUACAUGCUAAUUAAAGCACACUAGCAGUCGUUUAAGCUCAGAUGGUAAGAUAACAAGCUGAGAAUGGAAACCCAGAAAAUCCUGAGGGAGUGUGGAUAUGAUCCCACUUGGUACUGCCAUUAUUGCAAUCCCUUUCCAAGAUGAAUGCUCCUUGGCAAUCGCAUUCAAUACACGAAGAUGGUGAUCUCCUGCCACUGCCACUCAUCGCAAACACUCUAUGCUUAUUAAAAACCUUAUCAUUCCUCUUUAUCUCUUGGGCACCUUCUCCAAGGCUGAUCAUACAAGGAUUUGUUCCAGUUAUACAAUCUGGAAGUAGAAUUGAAUUCACUAUUUCCCACCUCAUGUUCUCAUUUUCCUUCACUUCUCCACCGAUUCUUCGCUGCUGCUGUAAUUGGUGUUGCUCGCCUCCGAAGAACCACCACCAUUGGUUUUGAUUUCUAUUGAUACUAACUGUAGCAGUGGCUCCUCUGGGGCUAGUAUUUGAAAAGGGCCAAACCCCAUCAACCUUGGACCAAGACCCUGUAUCUGGGUCAUAGCACUCGGCAUCAAACCUGAACUGCCCUUGGCUAUCUGUGCCAUAACCGCUCACAACCCAGAACCUGGAAUCACCCUCCCAGGCUAGCCCCUGACCUUCGUCCCUCUCUUCAAUCAUAUCGGGUAGCUUUAUCCAUUCGUUUUUAUCAACAUCAUAAACCUCUGCCGAUCGUAAGGCGUUCUUCUGACCGUCGUGGCCUCCGGCAACAAAAACCUUGGACGGUCCAACCAAGGCACAAGCAAAGAAAGAGCGUGACACAGACAUUGACGCCCCACGUCUCCACCUGCAGCCACCAACUCCGGUGAGAUCCAAGAUGUACACAUCCGGGACAGGUUCUAGAGUGGUGGGAUCCCAACCGCCCAAAAGGAGUACUUUCCGUGAUGAUGGAAGCGCCAAACACUGGCAGAACAUGGGUAUUCCUCCCUGAGGCCUUGUCCUUUGCCAAAUAUCAUGGGUUGCGUUGUAGAUGCUCAGUGCAAACUGAGGUGGGCUCUGGAUCUGUUUGUCUUCCUUAUUGGUUACAGCAGCAGUGGCGGGGG
RNAcentral lists this unclassified non-coding RNA (1142 nucleotides) under Hevea brasiliensis (rubber tree). Lineage: Eukaryota; Viridiplantae; Streptophyta; Magnoliopsida; Malpighiales; Euphorbiaceae. The record is from RNAcentral.